GACGAACGCUGGCGGCGUGCUUAACACAUGCAAGUCGAACGGAAAGGCCCUGCUUUUGUGGGGUGCUCGAGUGGCGAACGGGUGAGUAACACGUGAGUAACCUGCCCUUGACUUUGGGAUAACUUCAGGAAACUGGGGCUAAUACCGGAUAGGAGCUCCUGCUGCAUGGUGGGGGUUGGAAAGUUUCGGCGGUUGGGGAUGGACUCGCGGCUUAUCAGCUUGUUGGUGGGGUAGUGGCUUACCAAGGCUUCGACGGGUAGCCGGCCUGAGAGGGUGACCGGCCACAAUGGGACUGAGAGACGGCCCAGACUCCUACGGGAGGCAGCAGUGGGGAAUAUUGCACAAUGGGCGGAAGCCUGAUGCAGCAACGCCGCGUGCGGGAUGACGGCCUUCGGGUUGUAAACCGCUUUCGCCUGUGACGAAGCGUGAGUGACGGUAAUGGGUAAAGAAGCACCGGCUAACUACGUG
This 468-nucleotide ribosomal RNA is filed under the name uncultured bacterium. Its description in RNAcentral is "partial 16S ribosomal RNA". It matches the Rfam family "Bacterial small subunit ribosomal RNA", at positions 28 to 507 of the family's 1533-position model. The record is from RNAcentral.